This 734-nucleotide long non-coding RNA is filed under the name Callithrix jacchus (white-tufted-ear marmoset). RNAcentral describes it as "lncRNA (ENSCJAG00000076610.1)". Lineage: Eukaryota; Metazoa; Chordata; Mammalia; Primates; Cebidae. The record is from RNAcentral.
AUGAAGCAUGAGAAGGAUUCGCCAUGCAAUUAUUGGCUCGAAGACGAGGGGGUCUGCAUGUCAAGAAGACAGGGAUCUCAGUUCCGCAACUGCAAUGAACUGAAUUCUGCUAACAACCUAGAUGCAUUUGGAAGUGGAUUCUUCCCCAGAUUCUGCAGACAGCCCAGCCCAGCCAACACUGGAGCGCCAAAGUGGAUUUCAGCUUUGAGAGUCCCUGAGUACAGAACGCAGCUGUGCCACACUGUGCCGGGACUUCUGGUCCAGGGAUGCUGAAGAACAGUUCUACCCUGGGAACCGAGUGCUUCAUUGCCCUCCUGGUGGAGGUCCCAAGAUGGCACAGAGAGACCAGAUGAGUUCUCCUGAAGACCCUUCAGUAUUUCCUCCAAGCUUCAUUUCCCAGACUCCCGUAUUCUCCAAGUCACCAGAGAAUGGCAUUUUGUUUUGACCGAAGGUAAGAUUUAUGGCAAAUAAGACAAAGAUUCUGAAAGUUCUGGGAGGGCACACUGGGCUUUAUUGGUGAAGUCAGCCGGUCAAUCUGCAUGUGUCUCUCCCAGCUUCCUCAUAAUGACUUUUCGAGGCUUUUUACAUCCAGUGAAGAUUCUUUCCAAAAAUGCUGCUUAAACCCAGGUCACCAGAGAGUGUGACUGAUCUGCACUGUCCACUGUGGUAACCUUUAGCUACCAUGUGAAAUGUGGCUUGUCAGAAUUGAGAUGUUUUGUACGUUCAAAAUACAC